This 77-nucleotide transfer RNA is filed under the name Nocardia farcinica IFM 10152. RNAcentral's name for it is "putative tRNA-Gly". It matches the Rfam family "tRNA". From Rfam's summary of the family: Transfer RNA (tRNA) molecules are approximately 80 nucleotides in length. Their secondary structure includes four short double-helical elements and three loops (D, anti-codon, and T loops). The record is from RNAcentral. Lineage: Bacteria; Bacillati; Actinomycetota; Actinomycetes; Mycobacteriales; Nocardiaceae.
GCCGAUGUAGUUCAAUGGUAGAACUUCUGCUUCCCAAGCAGACAGCGCGGGUUCGAUUCCCGUCAUCGGCUCCACCA